RNAcentral lists this unclassified non-coding RNA (181 nucleotides) under Thermococcus sp. AMT11. RNAcentral describes it as "16S-23S ribosomal RNA intergenic spacer". Lineage: Archaea; Methanobacteriati; Methanobacteriota; Thermococci; Thermococcales; Thermococcaceae. The record is from RNAcentral.
CCACGAAGAGGUGCACAUCCCGAGCACCGCUCGGGGUGGAAGGGUCCUAGGCCCCGAACAGGGGUCACGAUGAGGACCGUGCACAGGCCGAUUGACCCAAAAAAUGCCCAGCCCCCUGAGUAGGGGGCAGAAAACCUAAGCCGCCUGGUGGAUGGCUCGGCUCGGGGCGCCGACGAAGGGC